This 133-nucleotide ribosomal RNA is filed under the name uncultured archaeon. RNAcentral's name for it is "partial 16S ribosomal RNA". It matches the Rfam family "Archaeal small subunit ribosomal RNA", at positions 321 to 458 of the family's 1478-position model. The record is from RNAcentral.
CCCUACGGGGYGCACCAGGCGCGCAAACUUUACAAUGCGAGCAAUCGUGAUAAGGAAACCCUGAGUGCCUGUCGAUGCAGGCUGUUCAUAUAUCUAAAUCAUAUGUGAAGAAAGGGCAGGGCAAGACCGGUGC